This 459-nucleotide ribosomal RNA is filed under the name uncultured bacterium. RNAcentral describes it as "partial 16S ribosomal RNA". It matches the Rfam family "Bacterial small subunit ribosomal RNA", at positions 338 to 795 of the family's 1533-position model. The record is from RNAcentral.
CCUACGGGUGGCAGCAGUGAGGAAUAUUGGUCAAUGGCCGGAAGGCUGAACCAGCCAAGCCGCGUGAAGGACGAAGGUGCCAAGCAUUGUAAACUUCUUUUGUCAAGGGACAAAAUCAGGCUCGAGAGCCUGACCGAGGGUACUUGAAGAAAAAGCAUCGGCAAACUCCGUGCCAGCAGCCGCGGUAAUACGGAGGUUGCGGGCGUUAUCCGGAGUUAUUGGGCUAAAAGGGUCCGUAGGCGGGCUGUUAAGUCAGCGGGAAAAGCCCGGGGAUAAACCCCGGCGAGCCGUUGAAACUGGCUGUCUGGAGAUGUCGAGAGGUAUGCGGAAUGCGCAGUGUAGCGGUGAAAUGCUUAGAUAUUGCGCAGAACUCCGAUUGCGAAGGCAGCAUACCGGCGGCGAUCUGACGCUGAGGCACGAAAGCGUGGGUAUCGAACAGGAUUAGAUACCCCAGUAGUC